RNAcentral lists this ribosomal RNA (1725 nucleotides) under Triticum aestivum (bread wheat). RNAcentral describes it as "partial small subunit ribosomal RNA". Lineage: Eukaryota; Viridiplantae; Streptophyta; Magnoliopsida; Poales; Poaceae. The record is from RNAcentral.
AUGCGCCUAUCGUCCCAGCGCUUUGCCGCCGGGACAAUGGGAAUGCACGGCGGGACAAGCUGGCGCCGACGGACGCAAGAAGCCGUCGCCAUGGUGCUUGCUCUGGCUACGCUAGCAGCUCUUGCUACCGCGGGAGAGCAACAAGAGACGACGGCCUCCAGGGUUCUCGGCGGCAACGUCACGGUCGUCUCGUCGACGGAGGCGUCAGGCGUGAACAUCACCGCCAUCUGCUCGUCGACGCCGUACCCGGCCGCGUGCCGGACGGCGCUGUCCUCGUCGGCGUCGGGGGCGGCCAAGGACCCCUUCGAGGCCUCCGUGCAGUUUGCCAUGGCCCGGGCUGCGUCGGCGCGCGCGCUGGCGCGCAACCUCUCGUCAGCAUCGUCCGAUCGCCGGGGCGCGCUGCCGCCCUCCGGCAUGGACGACUGCGCCGAGCUGCUCGACGUCAGCCACGGCCAGCUCGGCGACGCGCUCGCGGCCAGCUCCGCGCACGACGCGUCCACGUGGCUCAGCGCCGCGCUCACGAACCAGGACACCUGCGCCGACAGCCUCGACGCCGUGCCGGCCUCCGCGGGGCGCGAGGGCGUGCGGCGGCGGGUCGGCGCGCUCGCGGAGUUCAUCGGCACCGCCCUGGCGCUGCACGCCAAGCUCAAGGGUGGGAGCGCGACGCCACCGCCAUCCACCGCGCCGAACCAGGCGUUCCCGUCCUGGGUCUCCCACCACGACAGGAAGCUCCUGGACUCCGCCGCGGGCGGCGUGACGCCGGACGCCGUGGUGGCGCUGGACGGCAGCGGGACGCACGGGACCAUCGGCGACGCGAUCGACGCCGUGACGGCGGCGGCAACGGUGCCGGUGGGCUCCUCCAAGGCGGGCGUCGGAGCAAGCAGGAAGGUGAUCUACGUGAAGGCCGGGCGGUACGAGGAGAGCGUGCGGAUCUCGAGCAGGCAGAGGAACGUGAUGCUGAUGGGCGACGGCAAGGGGAAGACGGUCAUCGUCGGACACAGGAGUGUCGCCGACGGCUACACCACCUACGCCUCCGCCACUGUCGCUGCAAUGGGCUCGGGCUUCAUAGCCAAGGGCCUGACCAUCAUCAACGACGCCGGACCGGGCAAGGGCCAGGCGGUGGCGCUGCGGGUCGGUGGGGACCUCUCCGUUGUGUACCAAUGCGACAUCGAGGCGUACCAGGACACACUCUAUACGCACUCCAACCGCCAGUUCUACGCCGAGGACGGCAUCUCCGGCACGGUGGACUUCAUCUUCGGCAACUCCGCAGUGGUCAUCCAAAACUGCGAUAUCCAUCCCCGAAAGCCCCGCCAGGGCCAGAAGGACACGAUCACGGCCCAGGGCCGAACUGACCCAAACCAGAGCACCGGCAUCUCCAUCCACAAGUGCCGGAUCGCCGCCGUGUCAGAUCUAGGUGGCACGAAGGUGUAUCUGGGCCGUCCGUGGAAGGCGUACUCACGGACUGUCGUGAUGGAGAGCUCUCUCGACCGCUCGAUCACCCCGGCCGGGUGGCUGGAGUGGUCGGGCCAGUUCGCACUCAGCACGUUGUACUACGGGGAGUAUGGGAACACCGGGGCUGGCGCUGGGACAAGCGGGCGGGUGGAGUGGGGUGGAGUGCACACGUCACUGUCCACCGUGGAGGCCACACGGUUCACGGUGAGGGAUUUUAUCUUGGGAGACUCAUGGUUGGGUGACACCGGAGUGAGCUACACUUCAGGGCUAUGA